Molecule: small nucleolar RNA, 104 nt
Filed under: Sciurus vulgaris (Eurasian red squirrel)
Lineage: Eukaryota; Metazoa; Chordata; Mammalia; Rodentia; Sciuridae
Description: Small nucleolar RNA U13 (ENSSVLG00005005527.1)
Rfam family: Small nucleolar RNA U13
Source: Rfam by way of RNAcentral
AUCCUUUUGUGUGUUCAUAAGGGUGAUGAUUGGCAUUUUACACCACUAUGUAAGAUCACCUCCCUCAAACCUUGUUACAAUGUUGGUACAUUGCCUGUUUGAUG